RNAcentral lists this long non-coding RNA (3268 nucleotides) under Sus scrofa (pig). Its description in RNAcentral is "lncRNA (ENSSSCG00045008549.1)". Lineage: Eukaryota; Metazoa; Chordata; Mammalia; Artiodactyla; Suidae. The record is from RNAcentral.
UACCUUGUUUUACCCCUUACCUGUUUUUCCGUCUUUUUGUUUUUAUUUUUGGACAAUUUCCUCAGUUUUGUAAUCUAGCUCUUUUCUAGUAGGUUUUUAAAAUGAAACCCGACAGGUAAACAGCAAAGGGCACAGCUCACAAGUGUGCAUUUAGCUCAGUGGCUCUCCAGAAACGGAAAACUCUUGCAUGACUCCCCCCCGGCCAGGGGAUAGUGCGCUGCUGUUUCCUGCUGCUCCCCUCCUGCCCCGCUGGUCACCACUCCCUCUUCUCCCAGCGACAGUCACCCAGGACUGCUGACGCCACAGUUCACUUCCACUGUUUUCAAGCUUUAGUGUACAUCAGCCUCACCUGCAAGAUUUGGGGUGGGUUUUUUCACCUUUUUAGGGCCACACCCGCAGCACACGGAGGGUCCCAGGCUAGGGAUUGAAUCGGAGCUGCAGCUGCCAGCCUCCGCCACAGCCACAGCAGCGCAGGAUCCGAGCCGCUUCUGUGGCCUACAGCACCGCGGCAACGCCGGAUCCUUAACCCACUGAGCGAGGCCAGGGACCAAACCCGAAUCCUCACGGCUAUUGCUGAGCCACAACGGGAACUUCGGAAGAUUUGUUAAAACAGAUUGCUGGCGCUCACUUCAGAGUUUCUGAUUCAGUAGGUCUGUAUUGGAAUUUUCUUAAGAAGUUAUCAGGUGCUGCUGCUGAGAACCACUGGCCUAGGUUCUUUAGCUAAAACCAAAUGGAAUCAUACUGUUGUCCUUUUUGGUGUAUGGUGUUUUUUGUUCAAAAUUAACCUUGUGAAAUUAAUGCUUUUAGAAAAAGUAGCUGAAGUUCAUUUCAACUUCUGAGUAGUAUGACUCUGCCGUUGAGUGUGAAGUUAUUUAUCUGUUCUGCUGGUGGCGGUCGUUUGGACUAGUCCCAGUAUUUGGCUGUUAGGAGUGACGGUACUAAGGACAUUCCUUUGGAGUAUUUUGCUGAAAAUGUGCGAACGUUUCUGCUGGAAAUAAACCCGCGGGCGAGGAGCUGCUGGCAGGCAGCGUAUAUCCAGCUCUUUUCCACAGCAGUGGCACCAAUUUUCACUCCUAACAGCAGGGGGCGCGAGUGCGCUCUUUGCGCUGCGUCCUGGACGCCACCUCCCUGCUCCAUCUUUUUAUUUGUAAGCCCUUCUGGCAGGAGUGCAGUGGUUUCUCACUGUGGUCUUCCGUUGCAUUUCCAUGGUGACUGAUGGUACUUCUUAAGUUAUCUGCUACUUGGAUAUCCUUUGGUAUUAAAUAGCCAUUUAAGUUUCUUGCUCAUUUUUGUAUUUAUUUAUCUAUCUUUUUCCUAUUGACUUGUACUAGUUCUUGGUAUAUUCUGGAUAUGACUAUUAGUUGGUAGUAUAUAUUGCAGUAAUUUCUUCCGUUCUGUGGUUUGCCUUUAUUCUGUUAGGCAUAAGUUUUUGAGGUGUGUGUGGUGAGAACACCUGAGAGCUACUUUUAAAAGCAAAUUUCCGGCAUGUCGUAGAAUUAACUGUAGGCGUCCUGCUGCACGUCGAUGUCCGGCCUUACGCAUCCUGCGAAACCCUGACUCUGGCCUCUGACCAUCAUCCCCCCCCCUCCCCCCUCGUCGCUGCCCUUGGCAACUGCCGCUCCACUCGCUUUGUUUUCGGUGUUCAGGCCGCACACGCGUGUGAGCUCCUGCGGUCCUCCUCUCUCCAUGUCUGGUUUAGUUCUCUUCGUCCAGUGCCCUCCAGGCCCACCGGCGUUAACACUCGCAGACGGCAGGAUCCGCUUGCUUCCUCAGGCUGAAUAAACCUCCAUGUUACGCCUGUAUACAGAAGGCGCAGAGCAAGGCAACAAAGGAGAAAUGGAUGUCGGCGUAGGCGAGGAACAAGCAGCAGCAGAGACGUCGACAGCUGAAGAAGAAAAGUUUGCCUUUCUGCACCGCAUAGUCUGACAAGCCAAAAAACCCCGGCUGCAACAGAACUUCCAGCCUCCCUGGGGCCCUGGAUGUGACUUACAUCCUGCCCGUGAAAUGUACGUGCUCAAGAUUUGAGAAGGCGGACGGAGGCGGAGGCCACUUCCCAACUGUAUCUGGCUUCGUUCGCGUGGGUUUGCUCAUGAUCCAGACUGUGGAGCUAAGUCCAACAGCCAUUUCCAGCCGUUCCAGUUUCCCGCACUGAAACCUCCUCACAAACAUAAUGAGGGGAACAGCCUUCGGGGAUCUCAUAGAGCCAGUUCGUCUCCCCCAGUCCCGGUUUCUGGGCAUGUGGAUUAAGAGCCAGGAUUCUCCCGACAAGCAGGGGCCAGAGCGUGUGCGCUGGCACAGCUGCAGAAGAGCCCAACAGAGGACGCCAGGACACAGGGCACCAGCCGGGCUUGGCUUCCAGGGGUCCUUCCUCCACCGGUGUGUGGGGAGAGAGCCUCUUUCAUGGGGUGCCCGUUCCCCCAGAGCCUGUGCUCCGAACACCACAAACGUCAGCCCAUCCACGACUCAAAACCACUGCAGGGCAGGCGUGGUCACCCUCAGUGGACGUUUGGGACGACGGACUCUGAGCCAGUGACGCGACUCACCUGAGACGCUCAGAUAACAUCAGGUCUGUCUCACGGUCAGCGUCCACCGUUUACAUGAACGAGUUCUUCUCUUUUUUAAAUGAUGAAAAUAAUCUGUGUUCAUUGUCUGAUCUCUCUCAUCAUCCCGUUGGUGUGGCGGUAGCAGGAGGGAAGCAAGGGCUGUGCUUUCUGUGACCGUGUUUACGUCAUUGUCAAGUCCCUGCUGCUUUGAUGACAGAUCCUGCCCAGGUUUUGAUAAAAGAUACAGGAGUUCUAUUUUCGUUUUCCUUUCUUUUCUUUUUUUCAUUGCACUGACAUGAACAAUAUUUCAGAAAUAAGAGAUAAUUGACAAAAUGACUUGUGUUGAGCUAUUAAUAAAUAAAAGGGUAUAGCUAGUUACCGGCAAUAAAACUGCAAAAUGGAUGAUUGCAAGGAAUCACCAGCCACAUCUUAUUAAUAGGCCUCUGUGAGCUAAUUGAAAAGGAUUACAGCAUCACUAACAGUGGCAAUCUUCUAUGAUUUUAAUAACGACCAAAGUGUGUAUGUGUGUGUUUGGGCUGCUCCUUCUCUUCCCACUGGCUUUAGGCAAUAGUUAAAAAUGUGGCCACAAGAAUUCAGAUGUUACCUGUUACCUGCUUAGCCUAAACUGGUUCAGGGUGAUAACUGACUAUAAUCCGGUGUCAACAAUUCUAAGGCAGCAGGAGAAACGUGCUUAUACUCUGUGGCUGAAAAUAAACUAUGGAAAA